UUUUGAUGUUAAUUGUUUUUUCUAGGGUAGUAUUAGUUAUGGUCUUGAAACCCAAAGAAUUUGGCGGUAUCCCAUUCUCUUCAGAGGAAUCUGCCCCUUAAUCGAUAAUCCACGUUGGACCUUUCUUAAUUUUUGUUUGUAUACCGCCGUCGUAAUGAGAAUCUUUUUAGUGUUGUUAAUUCUCUAGUUUCAUUAUUUUGAUUUAUUUCAGGUCAAGGUGCAAUUUGUUUUUAAGUGUGAGGUGGAUUACAAUAUGUUUUUGAGUUUUCGGAUUAUUAAUUGGAAUUGUUUGGUAUGAAGUUGGAUUUGGUUGUAAUUUGUUGAAGAUUGUUUAGAUGAUUUAGGUUCUGGGAUAUGC
This 358-nucleotide ribosomal RNA is filed under the name Procryptotermes leewardensis. RNAcentral's name for it is "partial 12S ribosomal RNA". Lineage: Eukaryota; Metazoa; Arthropoda; Insecta; Blattodea; Kalotermitidae. The record is from RNAcentral.